GACGUAGGGCGCGAGCGUUGUCCGGAUUUAUUGGGCGUAAAGAGCUCGUAGGCGGCUUGUCGCGUCGAAUGUGAAAACCCACGGCUCAACUGUGGGCUUGCAUUCGAUACGGGCAGGCUAGAGUUCGGUAGGGGAGACUGGAAUUCCUGGUGUGAGCGGUGGAAAUACGCAGAGUAUCAGGAGGAACACCCGGGUGGGCGAAAGGGCGG
RNAcentral lists this ribosomal RNA (209 nucleotides) under uncultured bacterium. RNAcentral's name for it is "partial 16S ribosomal RNA". It matches the Rfam family "Bacterial small subunit ribosomal RNA", at positions 524 to 725 of the family's 1533-position model. The record is from RNAcentral.